RNAcentral lists this ribosomal RNA (497 nucleotides) under uncultured bacterium. RNAcentral describes it as "partial 16S ribosomal RNA". It matches the Rfam family "Bacterial small subunit ribosomal RNA", at positions 28 to 507 of the family's 1533-position model. The record is from RNAcentral.
GAUGAACGCUGGCGGCGUGCCUAAUACAUGCAAGUCGAGCGAACGGACGAGAAGCUUGCUUCUCUGAUGUUAGCGGCGGACGGGUGAGUAACACGUGGAUAACCUACCUAUAAGACUGGGAUAACUUCGGGAAACCGGAGCUAAUACCGGAUGAUAUUUUGAACCGCAUGGUUCAAAAGUUAAAGACGGUCUUGCUGUCACUUAUAGAUGGAUCCGCGCUGCAUUAGCUAGUUGGUAAGGUAACGGCUUACCAAGGCAACGAUGCAUAGCCGACCUGAGAGGGUGAUCGGCCACACUGGAACUGAGACACGGUCCAGACUCCUACGGGAGGCAGCAGUAGGGAAUCUUCCGCAAUGGGCGAAAGCCUGACGGAGCAACACCGCGUGAGUGAUGAAGGUCUUCGGAUCGUAAAACUCUGUUAUUAGGGAAGAACAUAUGUGUAAGUAACUGUGCACAUCUUGACGGUACCUAAUCAGAAAGCCACGGCUAACUACGUG